RNAcentral lists this ribosomal RNA (245 nucleotides) under uncultured bacterium. RNAcentral's name for it is "partial 16S ribosomal RNA". It matches the Rfam family "Bacterial small subunit ribosomal RNA", at positions 91 to 334 of the family's 1533-position model. The record is from RNAcentral.
CUUAGUGGCGAACGGGUGAGUAACGCGUGAGUAACCUGCCCUAGAGUGGGGGGACAACAGUUGGAACGACUGCUAAUACCGCAUAAGCCCACGGUACCGCAUGGUACUGAGGGAAAAGGAUUUAUUCGCUUUAGGAUGGACUCGCGUCCAAUUAGCUAGUUGGUGAGGUAACGGCCCACCAAGGCGACGAUUGGUAGCCGGACUGAGAGGUUGAACGGCCACAUUGGGACUGAGACACGGCCCAG